CCUACGGGCGGCUGCAGUGGGGAAUAUUGGACAAUGGGCGAAAGCCUGAUCCAGCCAUGUCGCGUGUGUGAAGAAGGCCUUCGGGUUGUAAAGCACUUUCAGUGGGGAAGAAAGCCUUGGGGCUAAUACCCUCGAGGAAGGACAUCACCCACAGAAGAAGCACCGGCUAACUCCGUGCCAGCAGCCGCGGUAAUACGGAGGGUGCGAGCGUUAAUCGGAAUUACUGGGCGUAAAGCGCGCGUAGGCGGUCUGAUAAGCCGGUUGUGAAAGCCCCGGGCUCAACCUGGGAACGGCAUCCGGAACUGUCAGGCUAGAGUGCAGGAGAGGAAGGUAGAAUUCCCGGUGUAGCGGUGAAAUGCGUAGAGAUCGGGAGGAAUACCAGUGGCGAAGGCGGCCUUCUGGACUGACACUGACGCUGAGGUGCGAAAGCGUGGGUAGCAAACAGGAUUAGAUACCCUGGUAGUC
This 465-nucleotide ribosomal RNA is filed under the name Vreelandella stevensii. Its description in RNAcentral is "partial 16S ribosomal RNA". It matches the Rfam family "Bacterial small subunit ribosomal RNA", at positions 338 to 795 of the family's 1533-position model. Lineage: Bacteria; Pseudomonadati; Pseudomonadota; Gammaproteobacteria; Oceanospirillales; Halomonadaceae. The record is from RNAcentral.